AUUGAACGCUGGCGGCAGGCCUAACACAUGCAAGUCGAGCGGAUGAAGGGAGCUUGCUCCUGGAUUCAGCGGCGGACGGGUGAGUAAUGCCUAGGAAUCUGCCUGGUAGUGGGGGAUAACGUCCGGAAACGGGCGCUAAUACCGCAUACGUCCUGAGGGAGAAAGUGGGGGAUCUUCGGACCUCACGCUAUCAGAUGAGCCUAGGUCGGAUUAGCUAGUUGGUGGGGUAAAGGCCUACCAAGGCGACGAUCCGUAACUGAUCUGGGAGGGAGAUCAGGCACACUGGAACUGAGACACGGUCCCGAACCCCACGGGGGGCCACGGUGGGGAAUUUUUGGCAAUGGGGGAAAGCCUGACGCAGCACAGCCGGGGGAGGGAAGAAGGUCUUCUGAUUGGAAAACUCUUUUAGUUGGGAAGAAAGAGUGUGAAAGUAAAUAUGCGCUUUUUGAAGUUACCCAAUCAAAAAGCCACGGCUAACUAGGUG
Molecule: ribosomal RNA, 484 nt
Filed under: uncultured bacterium
Lineage: Bacteria
Description: partial 16S ribosomal RNA
Rfam family: Bacterial small subunit ribosomal RNA
Source: RNAcentral